UACGGAGGGUGCGAGCGUUGUCCGGAAUCACUGGGCGUAAAGGGCGCGUAGGCGGCGCGGAUAGUCGGCGGUGAAAGCCCGGAGCUCAACUCCGGGUCGGCCGUCGAUACUUCCGGGCUUGAGCACUGCAGAGGCAGAUGGAAUUCCGGGUGUAGCGGUGGAAUGCGUAGAGAUCCGGAAGAACACCGGUGGCGAAGGCGGUCUGCUGGGCAGUUGCCGACGCUGAUGCGCGACAGCGUGGG
This 242-nucleotide ribosomal RNA is filed under the name uncultured bacterium. RNAcentral's name for it is "partial 16S ribosomal RNA". It matches the Rfam family "Bacterial small subunit ribosomal RNA", at positions 524 to 765 of the family's 1533-position model. The record is from RNAcentral.